UACGAAGGGGGCUAGCGUUGCUCGGAAUCACUGGGCGUAAAGGGAGCGUAGGCGGGUUUCUAAGUCAGGUGUUUAAUCCCGGGGCCCAACCCCGGACAGGCACUUGAAACUGGGAAUCUUGAAUAGUGGAGAGGUCAGUGGAAUUGGGGGUGUAGCGGUGGAAUGCGUAGAGAUCCCCAAGAACACCAGUUGCGAAGGCGGCUGACUGGACACAUAUUGACGCUGAGGCUCGAAAGCAUGGGGAGCAAACGGG
RNAcentral lists this ribosomal RNA (253 nucleotides) under uncultured bacterium. Its description in RNAcentral is "partial 16S ribosomal RNA". It matches the Rfam family "Bacterial small subunit ribosomal RNA", at positions 524 to 776 of the family's 1533-position model. The record is from RNAcentral.